RNAcentral lists this ribosomal RNA (1225 nucleotides) under uncultured Alphaproteobacteria bacterium. RNAcentral's name for it is "partial 16S ribosomal RNA". It matches the Rfam family "Bacterial small subunit ribosomal RNA", at positions 66 to 1357 of the family's 1533-position model. Lineage: Bacteria; Pseudomonadati; Pseudomonadota; Alphaproteobacteria. The record is from RNAcentral.
ACGAAGUAGCAAUACUUAGUGGCGAACGGGUGAGUAUAAUGUGGGUAUCUGCCUUUUGGUGAGGAAUAACACGGGGAAACUUGUGCUAAUACCUCAUAAGCCUUCACAGGGAAAGUUUUAACGCCAAAAGAUGAGCCCGCACUUGAUAGCUAGUUGGUAAGGUAAUGGCUUACCAAGGCUACGAUCAAUAGCUGAUCUGAGAGGAUGAUCAGCCACAUUGGGACUGAGACACGGCCCAAACUCCUACGGGAGGCAGCAGUAGGGAAUCUUGCACAAUGGGGGAAACCCUGAUGCAGCGAUGCCGCGUGAGUGAAGAAGGCCUUUGGGUUGUAAAGCUCUCUCGUCGGGGAAGAAAAUGACUGUACCUGAAUAAGAAGGUCCGGCUAACUUCGUGCCAGCAGCCGCGGUAAUACGAAGGGACCUAGCGUAGUUCGGAAUUACUGGGCUUAAAGAGCUCGUAGGUGGUUAGAGAAGUUGGUGGUGAAAUCCCAAGGCUUAACCUUGGAACUGCCAUCAAAACUUUUUGACUAGAGUAUGAUAGAGGAAAGUGGAAUUUCUAGUGUAGAGGUGAAAUUCGUAGAUAUUAGAAAGAACACCGAUUGCGAAGGCAGCUUUCUGGAUCAUUACUGACACUGAGGAGCGAAAGCAUGGGUAGCGAAGAGGAUUAGAUACCCUCGUAGUCCAUGCCGUAAACGAUGUGUGCUAGACGUUGGAAAUUUAUUUUUCAGUGUCGCAGCGAAAGCGUUAAGCACACCGCCUGGGGAGUACGACCGCAAGGUUAAAACUCAAAUGAAUUGACGGGGACCCGCACAAGUAGUGGAGCAUGUGGUUUAAUUCGAAGAUACGCGCAGAACCUUACCAACACUUGACAUGUUUGUCGCGACUCUAGAGAUUAGAGUCUUCGGUUCGGCGGACAAAACACAGGUGCUGCAUGACUGUCGUCAGCUCGUGUCGUGAGAUGUGGUAGUCCCGCACGAGCGCACCCUAUUUUAGUGCUACCAUUAGUGGCACUCUAAGAACUGCAGUGAUAGCUGAGAGGCGGGGAUGACGUCAAGUCCUCAUGGCCUACUGGUGGGCUAACACCUGCUUACAAUGGUACCUACAGGGAGAGACAAAAAGGCGAACCUCUAAGCUAAUUCCUACAAAAGUACAUUCAGUUCGGAAUGAAUUCCUGCAACAGGAUACAUAGAAGGCUGGGAUACAAGUUAUCCGCGGAAUAUAUGAC